GACGAACGCUGGCGGCGUGCUUAACACAUGCAAGUCGAACGGAAAGGCCCUGCUUUUGUGGGUUGCUCGAGUGGCGAACGGGUGAGUAACACGUGAGUAACCUGCCCUUGACUUUGGGAGAACUUCAGGAAACUGGGGCUAAUACCGGAUAGGAUCUCCUGCUGCAUGGUGUGGGUUGGAAAGUUUCGGCGGUUGUGGAUGGACUCGCGGCUUAUCAGCUUGUUGGUGGGGUAGUGGCUUACCAAGGCUUUGACGGGUAGCCGGCCUGAGAGGGUGACCGGCGACAUUGGGACUGAGGUACGGCCCAGACUCCUACGGGAGGCAGAAGUGGGGAAUCUUGCACAGUGGGCGGAAGCCUGAUGCAGAAACGCCGCGUGCGGGAUGACGGCUUUCGAGUUGUAAACCGCUUUCGCAUGUGACGAAGCGUGCGUGACGGUAAUGGGUAAAGAAGCAACGGCUAACUACGUG
Molecule: ribosomal RNA, 468 nt
Filed under: uncultured bacterium
Lineage: Bacteria
Description: partial 16S ribosomal RNA
Rfam family: Bacterial small subunit ribosomal RNA
Source: RNAcentral